UUGUAAUAUUAUUAAUCCUUUCAUUUUAUGCAAUAUAACUGUAACAAUCUCUGAAAACAAUGGUGUACUCUGAGGUUGUAGAUACUUUGAAAUGAAAAGUGCAGGUGAUGUUUCACUUGUUGUGUUUAAACCUCUGCAUCCAGCAUAUAAAUUGUUUUGGUUUGCCUUGCUUUUCAUUUAUAAUUAAUUUUUCAUUAACAUGAAAUCAUGACUUACUGCUGCUACAGUGAUACAGGCUCCUAUAAUGUUGGCUCUGUUAAGGUUAUUGUAAAAUAUUUCAAUUCAACAACCAUCUCAAACAACUCUAGCUCUCAAAACGUAAGAAUAUUAUUUAGUUUUUAUAAAAAUACUCAGUCUAUACCGAAAUAUUUCUUGUUUGCUGAAGACAGAUUGCAUCAUUUUGAUGUUUUAAGCAAUUAAAUAACAUAUUAAGAGAAGUAUAACUGACCACCUGGGCUCUAGUGGUGGGAAGGGUCUUUGCGAGCCUCCAUUAAAGCAAAAUCGCACCAGAAAAGAAAAAGAAAGGGAGGGAAGAAAUAGCAGAGCAGCUACAGGUUAAAAUAUAUCAUAUAACAUUUAGAAAAAUUUAAUCUAAUGCAAUUUAACAUUCUGUUUUUAGGUUGACUCUACUUUAGAAUUACAGUUUCAUGAAUAUGAACUAUAUCUAAAAGUUUGGACAAUCAUUUAAGCUUUCAUAAUAAUCAAUAAAAAAUGUAAUUACAUUAUUAACCAUUAUUAUAAGUUUCAUUAAGUUAUAACUGGUGAAAAACUACCCGAGGUUGGCAAUGUCCCAAGAUAGGGCUUGCACUUCUCACCACUGAAAUCCAAUAGGCCAGAUAAUUUAGUUUUAAAGAUCUAAUUAGUGAUUUUGCUAAAAAGAAAAUGUGCCAAGUGGUAUGUUACUGAGGAAUAAACUCCAUCAUCAUCUAUACAUUAUCAUUAUUGAUUUAUUAUAUUAUUAUUUGCAUUUAUUAUAUUAUGAUUUUUUUAAGAUUUCUUAACACUUACGAUUUUUUUGGCCUUCAUGUUUUGAACCAUUACACUGUAAAUUAGGAAAUCUGAUGCUUUGUGUCCGUUACUGCAAAUAAAACAUGGCUCCAAUGAAUUGUUCAGUUGUCUUUAUCGUAAGCAGUUUCUAAAUGUGAGCCUUACAAAGCUAGGAUUGCCUUUUGACGCCCUUUUAUGCAAUAAAUGAAACAAAGUAGAUUUAUUUACUUAUAUUAAAAUCAAUCAUUCACGAGGGAG
Astatotilapia calliptera (eastern happy) is the source of this 1245-nucleotide long non-coding RNA. NCBI's taxonomy places the organism in Eukaryota, Metazoa, Chordata, Actinopteri, Cichliformes, Cichlidae. The record is from Ensembl.